RNAcentral lists this unclassified non-coding RNA (163 nucleotides) under Calonectria mexicana. RNAcentral describes it as "internal transcribed sequence 2". The record is from RNAcentral. Lineage: Eukaryota; Fungi; Ascomycota; Sordariomycetes; Hypocreales; Nectriaceae. RNAcentral also lists the same sequence under 1 other name.
AACCCUCAAGCUCAGCUUGGUGUUGGGGAUCGGCAAGGCGUCCUCCGGGUCGCGCCGUCCCCCAAAUUUAGUGGCGGUCUCGCUGUAGCUUCCUCUGCGUAGUAAUACACCUCGCUCUGGAGUCUCGGUGCGGCCACGCCGUAAAACCCCCAACUUUUUCUGG